AUUGAACGCUGGCGGCAGGCCUAAUACAUGCAAGUCGAACGAGUGGCGGACGGGAGAGAAAUGUCUGGGAAACUGAUAGAUGGAGGGGGAUAAAUUGUGGAAACGGUAGCUAAUACCGUAUUACAACAGAUGCGCCCAGGUGGGAUUAGCUAGUAGGUGGGGUAACGGCUCACCUAGGCGACGAGCCCUAGCUGGUCUGAGAGGAUGACCCGCCACACUGGAACUGAGACACGGUCCAGACUCCUACGGGAGGCAGCAGUGGGGAAUAUUGCACAAUGGGCGCAAGCCUGAUGCAGCCAUGCCGCGUGUGUGAAGAAGGCCUUCGGGUUGUAAAGCACUUUCAGCGGGGAGGCGUUACCCGCAGAAGAAGCACCGGCUAACUCCGUGCCAGCAGCCGCGGUAAUUC
RNAcentral lists this ribosomal RNA (406 nucleotides) under uncultured bacterium. Its description in RNAcentral is "partial 16S ribosomal RNA". It matches the Rfam family "Bacterial small subunit ribosomal RNA", at positions 30 to 526 of the family's 1533-position model. The record is from RNAcentral.